Molecule: non-coding RNA, 7286 nt
Organism: Rattus norvegicus (Norway rat)
Lineage: Eukaryota; Metazoa; Chordata; Mammalia; Rodentia; Muridae
Source: RefSeq, a predicted model, not a curated record
CGCCACCACCCGCCCCGCCCGCGCGCCCGCCAGCCAAUCGGCGCCCGCCGCGCCCACGCGCGACCCGGAGAGGCCGGUGGGGGCGGGGACUGAGGCGUCCCGCUGUGGUCCCCCCCAGGCCUUUGGUUCUCCGGGCUGCGCGAGUGCUGCAAGGCUAUUCCCACGGUCUCGAUAGGAGCGCCCCCUCCCCUUCCUGUCAUCCAGCCCAGGCCUAGACUCUGUUCUCCCUUGACUGUCGCUGGAAGCCGGUUGGUUCCUGGGCCUCUGACCUUCCAUCAUUGUGUCCCAGGACUGUGCUUCGUGCAGCCCAUGAAUGAACUCAGGGGAUAUAAGGACCCCUCUUCACCCCAUCAAGGUGCAUUUGGAAGGGGCAGGCCUGGAGCCUCUUGGUAUUUGUUGGACAGAAGUUCAGAACCCGAGCUCUCUUGCAGACUGCUGGGUGCUGGGCACUCUACCCUGGGCACACACACACCUGGGCAAGAUGGCAGGGUGUGGCUAGGUAACUCCUUUUCCUGGACUGCAAGAUGGGGGCAUUUGAGGUGUGUGACCAGAACAGAACAAUCUGAAGGCCACCUUAGCCCUCCUUGCUCCGGCUCUGGUCCGGUUUUCUGUGAUAUGUGCUCUCCCCAGUUACCUCCUUGGAGAGGGUUUGAAGGGGGCUGAGGGGCACCACAAGGACAGAUUCAUGCUCAGAGCGACAUUUAUACAUGAAGAUGCUGUGUCUCCGUAUCUCCAAUAAGUUGAUAGGGCUAAGUGACCCACGGUGUGCAUACCUUCUGUGUUACUGUCACAUCCCAGGUGGCUUUGGCCUAAACCUCAGAGAGUCUGUGACCAGGGUAGGGAUGUUCCACUGUCCCAAUCUUACAGCCUAAGGAUCAGAUGGGGUGCGUACACACCGUAGGGUGUGUACACGCUGUGGUGCCUCUUUGGAAUCUAGAGAGGGCACCCGCAGGCGAUCAAAUACUGGUCAUUUUGUGUAUGAAACACUGGCUUAAUGAAGCUAGUGGAAGUGAGAGUCUAGACAUCUUUUAGGGUCGCCCUCACCAGUGACUUUUUCAUGGAGUUCUUGGGGGAAUUUGGAACUCUGUUAAAGGAAUGUGCAGUCUGAGGCAGGGGCAGAAACACAAUGCCAGGACUUCUGAGUUUACCAGUUCUGGCUCUGGAGAAACCCAGGCAGGGAAGUUAGGACAUUUAGCGUGUGCGGGGAGAAAGGAAGAUCUUCCUUGAGGCUCUGAUAGGAAGGCUACUCCUGAUGCUCUCUAGUUAGGAGGUUGUACUUGGCCAGGAGGGCCGUGUGAAGAGGGGAAAGAGGCUUGUGUACAGAAGGGGAAUAAAUUAUAAAACAAUUGUAAUGAGCCCUCGACACAGGGGUUUGACGAAAAUAAUAAUAAUAGUAAUAAAACUGCUGCAGAGGUUGGAGAUGGGUGAUGAGCAGAGCCAUGUAGACAACAGCUUUCAAAAACAUGCAUGUGGGUUGGGGAUUUAGCUCAGUGGUAGAGCGCUUGCCUAGCAAUCGCAAGGCCCUAGGUUCGAUCCUCAGCUCCGGGAAAAAAAAAAAGAUUUAAACUCUAAAAAGGUACGUGUAUUUCAAAUAUUAUGGUUCAGAGGAGACAUGCAGUCGGCUGAGCGCUCACUGGGAAGUGAACGGGUGGUCUGCUGUUCCUGAGGCUCCAGAGCAACCUGGCUUGGUACCACAUGGAAAUACAUCUGGGAGACUCCCUUGUCCUGGGACUCUGGUCCCCUGGUAAGCCCUGGGGCAGCUUCAAGUCUCUCACAGAGGAAGGAGGUUGCGCGUUGUGCUGAGAAGGAAUAAUGCUUGUGGCUCAGCAGACACUGUAUGCACAGGGGACGUUUCUGAGGUCAGGAAAAUAGGCCACGAAGGCAUCGUCAGCCUUCAGCUUUGUAGGACCUGUCCCCAGUUCCACCGUGCGGACAGUGUGAAUGUCACAAAGGUCAUAGGCUCCGGCCGGAACAGCCAGGGGCUGAGUCUGAACAAAAGUCCCGUAUGGCUUUUGCCCUUUGUCGGAAAGCAUGGCCUCCGGUGGGCUGUCAAGUGUCAGAGAGGCAGCAGGAGUGGCAGGGUGGGGACCUGCACAUCCUCGCUUACCUGUUCAAGAUGUUGUGGCUUCCCAGUGGGCACUCGCUUUGCCUUGCUGUCAUAACGCUGGCUGUAGUACAAAGAGAAGUAAACAAAAGACUUUCUGCGUGGGGAAAACGCUUCUUCUUUUUUUUUUUUAAUUCAUAAGGAAAAGAAGUUAAUGAGUGAAAAAAAAUAGGCUCUGUCAAGAAAAAUCUGUUCAAGCCACUUGGGCUACAAAUAGCUCACUUUACAGAGGGGGGAAAAAAAACCUUGUCAUUUUGUUAAAUCAUGCUGUGUCUCCCCUCAGCAGACUGAGGGAGCUGCACACCCCCACCCCGCACCAUAAGGCCAGUUGGGGUAAGCAAAGCGCUCUUGGGGAGAUAGCACUGGUGCCAGCCAUAGUGACCAGACGCAGUGAGGCAGAGAAUGAAGAUGCCGAAGUUUGGAGGUGGGGAAGUUUAUUCUGGGUGACAGAGAGGUGGGAGCAACCGGUGGUGAAAAAAUUCUAGAAUGUUUGCUGCGGCUACUGCUCACUUCUGAGGUUGAGGGCAAAGGUCAAACCGUGUUCCGAAGGUGAGACCUCCCUCGCAAAACUUUCUAUAGCCCCUCAUCCCAUAACUACCUCAGAACGGGCCUGGCUCAAGAAGCAAUCCCUGGCUUUUGUGCCUACGCACAGGACAGCAAAUGCUGCUCAUAAGGAGCCUGGGAUCCGCAUGAGGAGACUAAAUCCAGGCCUGUGGAGCCCAGCCCCAGUUCUGAGAGGGAUACAACCGACCAACCAGGCCCCACUUGGGCCCAGCCUGGGGCUUGGCCUGCUUGUACAGCCCACUACAACCCGAACUCAUUCUCCUUCUGUCCUCUCUGCUUCAUCUUCCAGUGGGGAUCAGUCUCCUUCCUGACUCUUCCUUUGUCUUUCCGUGGGUGUGUUCUCACACUGCCCUUGCUGCCUUUGCCGCCCUCCCUGAGACAGAAGACGUCCCCUCAUCCUCUUGCACUUGAGGGCUUUGCACCAUUCAGCUUCCUGCCAGUGUGCCCUGGGGUCUGUCUGCACUGCCCCUGAGUGUGGUGCUGUCCCCACGCUUCUGUUCCCAGCCCCUUCUGUCUGGUCAGAAGCUGUGAUACAGCUCUGCAGAGUCAGACAGUAGGCUCACAGUGAUCAGCCAGCCCAGCACCCGGGAAAGCCUUGUCUCAUGCUAGACCCAGCAUCAUGGCAAGUGGAGUGGGGGUGGGAAAAGCCAGCCAAGAGGGUCAGAGUAAGGGAGGCUGCAGACUGCAGGCUCUGAAGCCCAGACAUCCCUGCAUCUGCAGUGGGUGUAUCAUUUUGCAAGGGGGAUCUAUGGUAUUUUGUCCUCCCAAAGGCAGUGGUUGUCUCAAAACACAGGGUGAAUGUGAAAACAUUAAAGUGUACUGGAGAAUGCUUUCCUUGAUUUUCUUGCUAAAAGAAUGUAAGGGGACUACACCAGUCCUUGUCACCAAAGACAGACGUCAGAAGGGCAUAGAAUUCCAACAGCUGCCCCUGACAAGAGGGCCAAGAGGCUGACUCUGCUUAAAGCUGCCUGUGUGUAUUGCAAGCCUCCAGGGAGGCUGAGCCCUGCUCCAUACUGAGCAGCUGGGAUGGUGCUACAAAGGGUGUUUAUGUGAGAGAGGGAAUCAGCCUAGGGACCCAGAGCAGCCUGGGUCUUUAAGGAGGUAGAGGGAGCUUCUAAGACAUCGUCCAGUCGGAGAGUCCCCUGUGGUCCUUGGGCAGUGUCCUGGGAGAGAGAUAGGGUGCAGUCUAGGCUGGGAUCCUCGAGAGUGAAGAUUGUAUCAGGUACAAUCAGCUUCUUGCCACUGAGCUCUCCGGGAGACUGACCCUAUACCAGGUGCAUGCACAGAGCUGGGCGCCUCCCUGCUACGGUACCCCACCCUUCCGAUGUUGUCUGAUCUCACUGCACUUCUAGAGCUUUAUGGAAAGCCAAAGACAGAAGAAAAUGAUGAGUGACUUAGAAGAUGGUGCCAGCACCAAGGUUUUCCCAGAAGCUCAGAGGCAUUAAAAAAAAAAAAUCUCUUACUGACUGUACUGAUGGCUCAGCGGUUCAGAGAAUCCAGGUUCCCAGUCCACUCUGGGCAUCUUACAACUGCCUGUAACUUCUGUUUCAGUGGUUCAAUCCCCUCUUCCGCCCACUGCAGGCACCUUCAGGAAUAUGGUAUAUAUCCAUACAUCUCGGCACACACGUAUACACAUAAACCAAAGUAAACAUAAGUCUUUUCAAGUAAACUUCACAAGAAUAUGCGUUUUGGGAAGGCGAGAGGGUGCAGAGGCCAGAGCAGCGGUCACAUCGCCCUAAGUCAGCCAAUGUGCUCAGGUAAGAGUCUACUCUUUGCUGCUGCCCCUCCUCUUGGCACGGGGGCUCCUGGGGCUCCUGGGGCUCCUGGGGCUCCAGCUUCUCACUGCAUCCUACCUUCUAGACACGACCUACAAGUGUUGUUAGGCCACUAACAUGGACCCGAAAAUCUUUCUGGAAUAAACAGGACCAAAAGCGGGGCUGUGACCUCCACGCAUGGGUCACGAGGGCCAGCUGCUGGAGUGGUUCUAGAACCCACUGCAGUAGGCACGGGCUCUAACCCAACAUUCUACCCAGACACUGGCUGAGGGAUGGUGUGGCAGUAGGGGCAGGACCUGUAGAACAGCACAGGAAAGCACUCGCCAGGGCCUCCAGGGCAGAUAGCCACUGCUUGAGUCUUGAAGUUUCAGAUGACUGGCUGUAUCUUGGUAAGGACAUGAGCUCGGAGGUCUCAGCUCAGUCAACCACUGCCCCUGUCUUGCUUUUGGCCGGCAGUCUCGGGGACACCUUGACCCAUGGAAAUCAGUCAAAGGCAGACAAGGGGACAGUGAGCAGAUGCCACCAGCAGUGGGACUGGCCUGGAUGGAGACUUUCAUGGUACAAUAUGGUCUCCGCUCAGUACCUACUUAUCUCUGUUGAGAACUUGCUGUGUGUCUGACAGGGCAGAGCCAUGUACCGUUAAGUGGGAGAGAGGCGUACACUGUGUGCCAGGAUUGCCACUUGGCUGGUAGAAAACGGUGAGGUGGACACGCAAAGUUGAUGGCUAACGAGAGCCAGCCCUCACAUGUGCUUGCUGCCCAGCCCAUGCCCUGGGUGGAAGACGCUACCCAUCACCCUUCCUUGUUCCAAAAGCUGUCUUUAAGAGAUCCUGUGUAAACUUAGUAGAGCGGUACACACUUUUAAUCCCAGUGGGAGGAGGCAGAGGUAGAGACAGGGAGAUCUCUGUGAGUUUGAAGCCGGGAAGGAAGGAAGGAGAAGAACUUAGUUCCUACAGUGGAGGUAUGGAAGGUGGUGGUGUGCCCUUUACCCUUUGCCCUUUAGAAGGUCAAGCCUGGCGGGUUACUGGAUGUACUGGUUUCAGAAGAGAUCAAUGUGAUCCUCAUGGGCCCUGACUUCUCAGCUGAGGGUUUUUAUGGAACCAGAGUCUGAUUACACUGGGUUUUUUUUUUUUUUCUGUCCUUCCUAUUCAAGAUGUGGUCACUGGAUUUGGUGUGUGUGUGUGUGUGUGUGUGCGCGCGCGCGUGCCUUUGUCAUGUGACAUGCUAUAACAGAGCUGUCGACGGGUCUGCAAGGUUGUGGGCAACAUGCCCUUAAGCCUUGGACACUAUAAACUAAACCUCUUUUAAAAUUUAUUUUUAAACUCUAUCAUCAUCAUCAUCAUCAUCAUCAUCAUCAUCAGCAGCAGCAGCAGCAGCAGCAGCAGCAGCAGCAGCAGCAGCGAAGGGGCAUAUGUGGUGAUCAGAGCCCAGCUUUGUGUAAUCAGUUUUCUACAUACAAACUUAGGCUGGUCCUGGGAAUUGAACUUAGGUCAGCAGGCUUGGGCUACCAAUGCAUUUCCCUGACACCGUCUCACCAGCCCAGCCACUUUGCUUCAUUGGUGGCCUGCCCCAGGUACUUUGUUAUGGGCAUGCGAGCUCACUGACAGAGAGAGCUCACAGUUGAGAGAGCAAGCACUUGCCUUCCUUCCCGCUGCCCCACACCACGUCCACACCAGCAGCCCGAAUAAGUGUUUUCUCUGUUGACAUGCAGGCAGUCGGCUCUGCAGUGACCCACGGCUGCAUGUCCUCACGUUCAGUCCCAACUUGGGAAAGAGUCUCAGAUUCUACAGGAUCUGAGUGCACAGCAGAUUUCUGACCUACUGGCCAGAACUGAGAAUUCUCUAGCCCCCUCCUCAGGAUUGGUUAAUUUGUUUGAGGGAGAAUUGAAUUUGUUUGAGGGAACACAGAACCCAGGAAACACUUAUAUUUACCAUUUAUUUUAAGGUACAUGACGAAACUUUCAGAUGAAGGGCUGCGUGGAGGUGUGGGAGGAGGGAGUACUGCUCAGCGCCAUUCCUGGCAUUAGUCUCCGGCACCCAAAGUGUGCAAUGAUCUGGACACUCCCCAAACCCUGUCCUCCUGCUGUUUUGUGGGGAGUUUGUUGCACGUCUAAUGCUAAAAUUGCCUGGGUGGGGAAACUCAGCCUGGCCUGUCUACUGGACCUUCUGUAGUAACUCCUUCCUCCAAGGCGUGGGGCAGCAUCCUCUGGGGUGAGGAGAGUUUGUAAGAACUCCCCGAGGGAGGAAAUUUCAGGUCCUAUGACCAGCCAUGGGGAGGGAGAGAGGAGCAAGAACCAUGAAGGAAACCAAGACACAGACAGCAAGUCACACACAGAGUUUCAGCCACCGACGCUCCAGCACAGUACAGGAAAGUUCCAGACUCAAGGAGGAGAAUGGUGGCCCCUCGUGUGCUCGCCAGAAAUCUAAAGACACAAGUCAGACAACUGUGCUCAACGAGAAAACUAAAGCCCAGUCCCAGACCUGGAUCUAGCAGCCAUGUGCAGCGAGAAGGCACCUGACAUCGCCUACUAAUACAUGUUCCCUGCCACCUUCCUCUACCUGCAGCAGCUUCCAUUGGAACUUCAUUUCUAUGACAUUUUGAAAAUCCAUGUAGUUCAAAUUCUCUGAAAAAAACCCUGAAGUCCUGGGACUGCAGAGAUGGCUCAGUGGUUACGAGUCCUGGUCGUUUGGAUCUGGGUUCAAUUUCCAGUGCUUCCAUGGAGGCUCACUACUGGUUCCAGGAGAUCCGGCACCCUCUUCUCUUCUCAGGCUCUAGAUAUGAAGGUGAUGCACAGAUAUUUGUGUAGGUAAAAUAAUCAUAUACAAUAAAAAAAUAACCAACUGA